GACGAACGCUGGCGGCGUGCUUAACACAUGCAAGUCGAACGGAAAGGCCCUGCUUUUGUGGGGUGCUCGAGUGGCGAACGGGUGAGUAACACGUGAGUAACCUGCCCUUGACUUUGGGAUAACUUCAGGAAACUGGGGCUAAUACCGGAUAGGAGCUCCUGCUGCAUGGUGGGGGUUGGAAAGUUUCGGCGGUUGGGGAUGGACUCGCGGCUUAUCAGCUUGUUGGUGGGGUAGUGGCUUACCAAGGCUGUGACGGGUAGCCGGCAUGAGAGGGUGACCGGCCACAUUGGGCCUGAGGUACGGCCCAGACUGCUACGGGAGGCAGCAGUGGGGAAUAUUGCACAGUGGGCGGAAGCCUGAUGCAGCAACGCCGCGGGCGGGAUGACGGCCUUCGGGUUGUAAACCGCUUUCGCCUGUGACGAAGCGUGAGUGACGGUAAUGGGUAAAGAAGCACCGGCUAACUACGUG
RNAcentral lists this ribosomal RNA (468 nucleotides) under uncultured bacterium. RNAcentral's name for it is "partial 16S ribosomal RNA". It matches the Rfam family "Bacterial small subunit ribosomal RNA", at positions 28 to 507 of the family's 1533-position model. The record is from RNAcentral.